Long non-coding RNA from Esox lucius (northern pike), 1357 nucleotides. The record is from Ensembl. Lineage: Eukaryota; Metazoa; Chordata; Actinopteri; Esociformes; Esocidae.
UUUACUGUAACGGUUGAACUACAGUUGCUACACCAAGAGCCGAGAAAAGAGAGUCAUAUCAGUGGAGAUUUUCUUUCCUGGGACACGGUUGCGCUGAACUAUCUGAAAAGACUGUGCCUGUCUCCUUAUCAACCUUAAGACGAACUGCUAUAUCCAUUUUGGUAAGCCCUGAACAAAUCUCUACCUUGCUGACUAUACCGGACAAAUGCUAAAAUCUUUUGUAAACCAUUUUGGUGAGCUGUAUGGGACAGACCAGAUUGUACACAAUGUCCACUGUCUGGUCCACCUGGCAGACAAGGUGAAGAGGCAUGGCUGUCUGUCUUUUUCAGCAACAACACCCCAACAGAUUCUGCCAAAAAAAUGCAACAGUACUCUACGGUUGAGCUGAAGUUCUACUUGACCAUUAUGACCUGUACUUUUUCCUUCCUUAUACUUCUUCCCACCUUGGGGCACCAUUCAGGUUAACUUUCAGCCCAUCUUACUUGCUUAUUUGUAUACAUUGUAGGCCUAUACUUGUGCAUGCUUUAGUCCAUGUUAUUCCUUUUUUGAUGAUGAAUAAAUACCCUUUUUCUUUCUUUCUACAUUAAGGAUGCCAAACUGGCCAAGAUAUGACGUAAAGGUCGUCAGAACUUGUGACAACUACAAAAACGCCAUCAGGCUAAUUAAUCAAUAUCAGACCGGCUGCAACACCUCUGAGCUACAGUCUGGAGGGUGAGCAGGAGGGUGAGCUGCCAGAGAAACGAGUCAGGAUGCCAAUCACCUGACCAUGGGGCCGGACCGCAACACCCUUCACCACCUCAACUCCCUGCACCUGCAUUUAACAUGAGGAGAGUAACUCAAGGAACGGCAGUCCCUCCUCAACUCCCUCCACCCCCCGCACCGGCCCUCAACAUGAGGCGAACAGAGGAGCCCUCUUCAAGCCUGGCCUACAGACCAACAUGGCGAGGGGGAAGAAUGACUGAUACAAUUCCCUGCUCUGCGGCUGAGGUCCACAUCCUUAGCCUGCUGGAGACCAUAGGUGAACUACCUCAGCAGCAGGCUGAACAGCAACCCCGGGGCCAGAUGUUGAGAUGCCGGACAAUAUCCAGUUUCCCCUAGAACAAUUGGAGGCAGUGGAGGCAUUUGAAAUGUUUUUAAAGGAACCGUCAAAUGGCCCAGCUCGACAGAGUGGUGCUGUGAGGAAAAACAGUGACACAGUCAGCCACGGACGCAGAGGUGGUUCAACCUGGUAGCGGAUCGGGCAACGAGGAGACAUGUCCCGCCUCAAGCCACACAAACAGAGUAAUAGGAGAAAUAAGCAAUAAACAAUAUUUUUAUUGAACUUCUUGUCGUUCACCAGUUAUUAAUUUUCUGAUAU